UGGUGCUUAAGGGUGAAAAUAGGUCAGAUACUAAUAUAUUUAUAUUUAUAUAAAUUAUAUUUAAUGAAUACUGAUAUAUAUAUUGAUAUUGAUUGGAUAUAAAAAUUUAUAUCUAUAUUUAUUUUAAACAGAUAAGGAUAUGAAUCGGAUAUCGAAAAUAUAGAUAUAAGUUAGAUGAAUAAAUUUUAUGACCAUAAAAUCAAAAAUAUUAUUAAGUGUGUUGCGGCCAACUCUCCGUCGCCUGU
RNAcentral lists this long non-coding RNA (245 nucleotides) under Elaeis guineensis (African oil palm). RNAcentral's name for it is "long non-coding RNA (EGUI_LNC006812)". The record is from RNAcentral. Lineage: Eukaryota; Viridiplantae; Streptophyta; Magnoliopsida; Arecales; Arecaceae.